Molecule: RNA transcript, 583 nt
Organism: Camelina sativa (false flax)
Lineage: Eukaryota; Viridiplantae; Streptophyta; Magnoliopsida; Brassicales; Brassicaceae
Gene name: GCN5-related N-acetyltransferase 7, chloroplastic-like
Source: RefSeq, a predicted model, not a curated record
AGCUUAGGACGUGACGUCGUGAUUAGUCCGCAGAAAAAAAAAAUGGCGUUUCUCUCUGCCAAGUUCAUCCUCUAUCGCCAUUUUCAGCGAGUCAACCACAGAUGGAUCAUCACGUUCCUUUCUUUCGAUUCCUUCCUUGAGGUUCCGGUUCGGUCCCGCCGCUUCACACAUUUGUGCUCCGGAGAUCGAUUAGUCGACGUUCGCCGUAUCCAAAACGGUGUCAGAAGAUGAGCUUUGGGAUGCAGCUUGUCUUCAAUGAGCUCAACCCUUCUGCUUACAGUAUCCAAUUUCAUUAGGAUCAUAGAAGAUACUUGGCAGAGCGUGAGUUUGAGGCGCUCAAGGAGAGAACUUCAGGAAAGAGGGAAGGGUUUACUCGGGUCGCCUGCAUAAAUGCUACCCUUCCAUUGUCGCAACUAUCAAGCUCUUCUGAGGAUUUAUGCUCUGCAUGUAAGGUCUGUCUGUUCAAUUGCUCAUCUUGUGUGUUAACUGUGCAUCUCGGUGGAGUUAGUGUAAUAUACUUCUCGUGGGAGUGAGUUUUAAGAAGGUUGCUUGCAUAAAAUGGAUUUCUGUUUUAUAUGCUUCA